RNA transcript from Zea mays, 3273 nucleotides. It is a transcript of the gene named putative DUF21 domain-containing protein At1g03270, with no coding region annotated. The record is from RefSeq and is a predicted model, not a curated record. The transcript is spliced from 4 exons. NCBI's taxonomy places the organism in Eukaryota, Viridiplantae, Streptophyta, Magnoliopsida, Poales, Poaceae.
UGUUGGACCAAAUAGUCUCUAGAGGUCCAACAACUGCAAUCUGCCAUGAAUUGGCACCCAUAGGCCACAGUCCCACACGGUGGCGGACGCGGGCGUGCUAGGGUUGAGCGGCUACACGAGCGUGCUAGGGUUGAGCGGGGCUCCGCGGGCGUGCUAAGGUUUCGCGAGCAUGGCGGUGGCCGGCGAGCAGGUGAGGGCUCCCGCCUCUAAUUCCCUCCCGAGCUCCUCGAGCGGCCAAGCGUCUGUGUGUGGCCGUGUGGGCGAACCACAUGCGCCAGCCACCGUGCGCCCUGGGUGAGCACGUGAGGCCAGAGGAGAAGCGCAUGUACAAGCAGCUGCGCCAGUUUAGCGCGAGACUGCAGGGUAGUAGGCAAGCCGCGAGCGUGUGACUGCAGCUGCUAGCCAAGUGAGCGUGCCACUACAGGACAGCAAACAACGACGACAGCAAGCAAGUAAGCAAUGAGCAAGUUUUAUGUCUAUAAUUAAGGAUCCUGAUCCCCGAUGUUAGGAGAAAUUAGAAAAAUCUACUUAGGCGAACAAGGGUGUUAACUUGGCUACCUUGUAAUGUUUAUGUUGUAUUCGUGGUGCAGAAAAGUAUUGUUCUGGAUAUUAUCUUGAAACUUUUGCUCAACCAACCUUUUGAGAAGAUUCCCUAUGCAGCUUCUGAAUAUCAUAUGGUUCUUUCCUUAGCAUCGAAAGAUAAAUUUUUCCUAAUGUAGCAUUGGAUUCAUUCUUGGUUUAUUAUAUAGGACUGUCGUCGAAUGCAACCUGUGACACCAUCAACUAUAAGGAGAAAAGACCAUCCAGUUUACCCUUGUUUUAUGUGUAGCAUCAACCUGUUAAUAUUGAAAUUUCGUUCCUCACCCCACGUGGAUUGAAUAUAUAUGGGUGCCUAACGUUUAAAUGAUAUAUCCCAAAAAUAAGGACUUUAACCCACAAGUUAAUUAACGAGGACCAAUCUGAGUUGGCUAACGAGGACAAUAAUUCAGUCCUUCUCUUCCAUAUUCUUUUUUUAUUGUGAUGAGAGCUUGGCAACACUCUACUGUAACUGGUUUCUUAAACUAGAGGAUAACUUUGGUUGCAGAUGAUCCGUUCAGCAUGUGCUCCCUAUUCGAAGUCCCCUGGUACACUUUUUUUCCUAAAAUUCCCAGAGUCCUUAUCUGUCGGGAAUUUUGGAUGGAGGGAGUAGUAUCUUGGGCUGAUGAGGAUACUCUGAUUGUUCAUGUUCCAUAAGUUUUGUUAUAUUGCGGUGAGAGUUUUUGAGAAUGUUCUUCUAUUUUUGUUCUCUCAAACUGGAUGUUAAUUUCUGAUUCAAAUUCUCCUGUGUUAUGCAUGUGCUCCUUGUGCAGAGUUGGUACAUUUCCUACAUUAUAUACCUACUUAUUCAUUUCAAGUUAUCUUUACUGAAUAUUUGUUUGUUUGUUUGUUUAUGAAACUGUUGUAUCAUUGUGGCCAUAAGUUAUUUUGGGGGAUAACUUUGGUUGCGGAUGAUUCGUUCAGCAUGUCCUCGUGCUCUUCACAGGGAUCAUGUCCAGACUCACACUGGGCUCGUUGCUCGGCCUUGUUGAGCUAGAGAUCCUCCAACACAGCGGCACCGACACCAAGGCUCAGGCUAGUACGAUCUGAAUCCCUAUCCAUUCCCUGUUGUUACCUCGUUGUGCUCGAUCUGGUUACUGUCCUAUGUGCGGGUUUGUUAUAUUGGUAGUAGGGAUCACAUUGGUGUGGCUGGUUACAUGAAGGAAUGGAGAUGAGAACGUCAUAUACUCUAUCGUAUUCUCAAGUACCUCUGUAAUUUUGAACAUUAGAGCGUCUUUGGUGUAUGGUGGUGAAUUUUUUUCUCGCUCGUAUCGGAAGUCUGCUAGAUUUUGUAAGUGGCAAUAAUGAUAGUGAGGAUAAAAUGUGAUGGUAACACUAACAUUGACAUAUUUUUUACAUGCAGAAGUGUUUGAAAAGGAAAGAGAACAAACAAAAAUGGGUAUAGUCAGGAAUAAGGAAAAGCAUUGUGGAUGGGAUUCAUUCUUUUCUAUGGUUCACCUCGUUCUGGUGAUAUAUGAAAUGGUACAUCAGAUAAGUGGGAAGAGGAAGUAUAAUGCAAUGGAUAAUCAUAAAAAGUGAUCACUCUGGAGUAUCCUGUAUCUACCAUUUUUAUUUACUAGGGUAGAAUGCACUUUCAGUUUUGUCUUACCUAGUAAUCUUUACAGCGUGAAAGGAUCUCUAGCUAGUUGAUUAGCUGGUCUAAGUAGCACUCCUUAGGUUUUUAGUUUGACUCCCCGUAUAAAAAAAUUUAGGCUGGGUUAAAAAAUCUCCUGAUUUGUCCCAUGACAAACCAUUGUUCUAAGCCUCGACCCCGGUAAUGUCUUGGUCAUUCUCAAAUGGGCUACGAUGUCGCUGCUACGCCAAAGCAUAGGUCUAAGACUCGACCCUGCUGUCGGCCUUCCAGUUGUUCAAAAGCAACACCAGCUUCAUGUCACCCUAUUGUUGUGUAAUGUUGCUGCCAUGGAGGCUUAUUUCUCCCAGUUGCUACUAGUUUCUUUCAUCAUCCAACUGCAGCACGACCAAUAUGUGUUAGUCCAAUUACAUCAUAUGGUGUAUGUAUAUCUGAUCGAUAUUAUUUUUCCAGUCCUAAAUCUACUAUCACACUUCUCAUACUAGUGUUCUUUCACCAGUUGAUACUCUUAUACCUUAUUCCUUUCUUAUUUCACAUGUUGUUUUUUCUGAUACCUUUCGCACUCCAUUCUGUUUUAACCAUUGACUUUUAUGUUUACCUCGUUGCAACCUUUUCAGGCACUUCCUAUAUUUUUGAUAGAAUGUUUCAUCAUGUUCUUUUUGUAUUAUUGUCAGCGACAUUUGUUCUUGCCUUUGGAGAGGGAUCAUGUCUAGGCUCACAACGGGGCUCAUGUUGCUCGGCCUCGUCGAGCUGGAGAUCCUCAAAUGUAGCAGCAAAAGCAUCUCAGGAGACCAUUAAUAGUAUGAAGAGAUCGAUCGAAGAAAAUAACCUCCUUCAUCAACUAUUAAGCUUCAAUCGAGGCCAAGUGCCUCCAUCUUAAGUCUAACUAACCACUAUAGGGCCUACAACCUUAUAGCUGUUAUAGUAGCUUGUUACAGUAGCUCUAGAUUUGAAGUUAUAUGAUUAUUUCAAUUAUGCUUAAUGUAUAAUACUUUGAGUUGAAGUUAUAGGAUUUGAUUUGGAUUUUAAGUUAAAGAAUUUGCAGAUAUAUGUUUUGAAGUUAUAUAAUUCUCUCAUGGAUGAAAUAUUUGUGUUCAACAUAUUCA